This 508-nucleotide ribosomal RNA is filed under the name Candida albicans. RNAcentral's name for it is "eukaryotic LSU rRNA". The stretch from base 144 to 297 matches the Rfam family "5.8S ribosomal RNA". The record is from RNAcentral. Lineage: Eukaryota; Fungi; Ascomycota; Pichiomycetes; Serinales; Debaryomycetaceae.
AUGGUUCUGAUUGCUUAUUGCACCACAUGUGUUUUUCUUUGAAACAAACUUGCUUUGGCGGUGGGCCCAGCCUGCCGCCAGAGGUCUAAACUUACAACCAAUUUUUUAUCAACUUGUCACACCAGAUUAUUACUAAUAGUCAAAACUUUCAACAACGGAUCUCUUGGUUCUCGCAUCGAUGAAGAACGCAGCGAAAUGCGAUACGUAAUAUGAAUUGCAGAUAUUCGUGAAUCAUCGAAUCUUUGAACGCACAUUGCGCCCUCUGGUAUUCCGGAGGGCAUGCCUGUUUGAGCGUCGUUUCUCCCUCAAACCGCUGGGUUUGGUGUUGAGCAAUACGACUUGGGUUUGCUUGAAAGACGGUAGUGGUAAGGCGGGAUCGCUUUGACAAUGGCUUAGGUCUAACCAAAAACAUUGCUUGCGGCGGUAACGUCUACCACGUAUAUCUUCAAACUUUGACCUCAAAUCAGGUAGGACUACCCGCUGAACUUAAGCAUAUCAAUAAGCGGGG